This is a long non-coding RNA of Camelus dromedarius (Arabian camel), 2544 nucleotides long. RefSeq lists it as uncharacterized. The record is from RefSeq and is a predicted model, not a curated record. NCBI's taxonomy places the organism in Eukaryota, Metazoa, Chordata, Mammalia, Artiodactyla, Camelidae. The transcript is spliced from 6 exons.
UUCCGGGUUCAGCCCCUCUUCUCUGAGGCGCAAGCGGGUUUCUUCGACCUCACCUAGGGUGGCCUUUGGACUCUUUCGGCCCCACCACGGGGAAAGCAAGACCUGCAAGGCCAAUAACCUGAAAGGCAGAGUGGAGCCUCUGAACUUCCCAGUCUCUAAAGCCACAUUGCCAAGGGACAAAAAGUGCAGCUCCUGCCCCUUGGCUCAAAAUGUCAGGCGCCAGGAGAAGGCGGUUAUUUUGGAUUGGUGUUCACAGGAAUUUGGCUCCCUUGAGGAGGCCUGUCCUGAACAGCAGGCCCUUGACAUCCUACCCGGAGAGAAACAGGAUGGGUACAUGCAGAGAGGAGGUUAUAGAAAUGAUGGGAGGUAGAGAGCCAGAUCUGGAUGGAGAAAAACAGGUUCUGCAAAAGAAAGGAGGGGAGCUAGCAGUCAUCCUUCUGCUCACGAGCUACAUCUGCUUCCCCUGCAUCUGCCUUUGGUCAUGAGAGUUGCCAAGGAGACAGAGCACAAGAAGAGGAGCAUUGCAGUUUCCCAAACCUGCUGUAAUCUCCCAGCUGGAGCAAGGUCAGGAGUCCUGUGUUCUUGAUCUGCAGGGAGCUGCUUUAAGAGAGGCCCCUAGGAACUCCUGUGCAGUGUCAACUGUUAAGACCAAGAUGGGAAGGUAGGGAAUCAACUGAAAAACUGUGCUUUGAAAAUAGUCACAUUGAGUCAUCUUGACAAUACUCAGAAGAAUUUGCAGAAAAUUCACAAAGGCAUUGACAGGUAAGAAUAGAAAUUCUAGGAAGAUGAAAGACAAACCUAAGAAAAUCCUGAUUUCAGAACAAAAAAAUAAGGAUUUAGAGGAAAGCUUGCAUCUUAACUUGGAAUAUGCCAAGUAUAAGAGAAUUUCAAAUGGGCACAAUUUCUGUGAAUGUAGCACAGAUUGUGAAAACAUCUGUUGGCAGUUGGAUCUUAUUCUCCAUGGAAAAUGCAUGCCAAUGAGAGACUUUGUGAAUGUGAAGACUGUGGAAAACUUUCAGGGUGAUUUCAGCUCUCACAAAAAAAUACACAGUGGGAAGAAACCAUGUAUGUGCGACCAGUGUCACAAAGCCUUCAUUGGGAACUCAGAUCUUAUUAAACACAAGGGAAUUCACACGAGAAAAACCCUAUGAAUGUGGGGGCUGUGGGGAAUCCCGACCCUCAUGAACACCACCGAUUCCACUGGGGAGAAACCCUUUGAAUGUAAUGAGUGUUAGAAAACCUUUAGUAGCAGAUCAGCCCUUUCUCAGCAUAGAGAUUCACAUGGCUGGAAACCCUACGAGUGUGCAACUGUGGGAAAGCCUUUAAGACUUGGAACUGCCUUACUGUGAAACAGAAAAUCCACACUGGGGAGAAGCCUUGUGAGCUGACUGUGGCAAGCCCUCCCAGUUUAGGCACUGCCUUCCAGUGCAUCAGAGGAUCCACAUUGGAGAGAGGCAGCUAUGAGUCUGCAGAAUGUGGGAGUUCAGACUUCCUAAACACAAGAUCCCUACUGGUGUGCUGAGUGUGGGAAGGCUUUCAGUUGCAGCUCUGACCUUACCAAACAUAAAAUAAUCGACACUGGGGAGAAGCCUUAUGAGUGUCAAGAGUGUGGAAGAGCCUUCAGUUACAGCUCAGGCUUUCAGCACCGCAGAGGAGUCCAUACUGAGGAGAAACCCUUUGGGUGUAAUGAAUGUGGGAAGACCUCUUAUCAGAGCUCGGAACAAUGUAUGCAAAAAGACUGCACACAGGAGAGAAACCAUGUAAAUGUGAAAAGUAUGAGAAAGCUCUCAGAGGGGCUUUCUCAAGGGGCAGAAAAGAAGAAAGCAUACUGAAGAGAAACUCCCUGAGUAUGAAAAUGAAAGAUUUAGUCCAACAUCCUUUUGUCAGCCACAUCUGCCUCCCUGCAGCACUGGACACUAAGGAGCCCUUAAUUUUGUGGGGGAGGGUGGGAAACAACCCUAUUUAAAAUUAUAUUCUGCCUCCUGGUAGUCUCAUUUGCUUUUUCCUUACCCUACUUCGUUCCAUACCUCAUAAUAAUUUCUAAUACAUAUUGACUUACUUAUAAUGUUUAUUUUUUAUGUGUAUUAUCCUUCUGCUACAGUAUAAACUCUACAAGGGCUAGGCCCCUGGUCUCCUGUUUGCUGAUGUAUUUGAGGCCACUAGAACCUUGCCAGGCAAAUAGAAGUGGUGGUGGUGGUGGGGCACAAUAUUUUUUGAAUGGAAUGAAUUCUUCGUUUCCUUGAUAUGCUUUUUCUGGGUUACCCUUCAGUGUCUCCAGCCAUUCCUUUCCUCCUGCUUCUGCUGACUCCUUUUGGUUCCCUUAUCCUAAGUUGUGACUGUGUCAUGCUCUGGUCUUUGGGCAAGGGGUCAUAGUAGUCAGUAUCUUCUGACCUUCACUCCAAGCCUGUUAAAUGAAAUGAUACUCGCUAUCACCUCUGUGUCAACAAUAUGUUUCUAUAAACCACACAUGCUAUUUCUCUCUUCAUUGGGGGCAUUUCAAGGCAAAUCAUGGAAUGGGAAAAAUAAAUACCUAUGUUUAUACUA